Molecule: ribosomal RNA, 301 nt
Filed under: uncultured bacterium
Lineage: Bacteria
Description: partial 16S ribosomal RNA
Rfam family: Bacterial small subunit ribosomal RNA
Source: RNAcentral
CAGUCGCCACGGUAAUACGUAGGUGGCAAGCGUUGUCCGGAAUUAUUGGGCGUAAAGGGCUCGCAGGCGGUUUCUUAAGUCCGAUGUGAAGCCCCCGGCUCAACCGGGGAGGGUCAUUGGAAACUGGGAAACUUGAGUGCAGAAGAGGAGAGCGGAAUUCCACGUGUAACGGUGAAAUGCGUAGAGAUGUGGAGGAACACCAGUGGCGAAGGCGACUCUCUGGUCUGUAACUGACGCUGAGGAGCGAAAGCGUGGGAAGCGAACAGGAUUAGAUACCCCCGUAGUCCCUGUCUCUUAUACA